This 63-nucleotide transfer RNA is filed under the name Sphaerodactylus townsendi. RNAcentral describes it as "tRNA-Ala". It matches the Rfam family "tRNA", at positions 8 to 63 of the family's 71-position model. From Rfam's summary of the family: Transfer RNA (tRNA) molecules are approximately 80 nucleotides in length. Their secondary structure includes four short double-helical elements and three loops (D, anti-codon, and T loops). The record is from RNAcentral. Lineage: Eukaryota; Metazoa; Chordata; Lepidosauria; Squamata; Sphaerodactylidae.
GUGUCUCAAUGGUAGAGAAUCUGCCUGGCAUGCAGAAGGUCCCAGGUUCAAUCCUUGGGACCU